Molecule: long non-coding RNA, 1032 nt
Organism: Neodiprion fabricii
Lineage: Eukaryota; Metazoa; Arthropoda; Insecta; Hymenoptera; Diprionidae
Exons: 3
Source: RefSeq, a predicted model, not a curated record
CUGGCGGCAGUAAGCUGUCGCGCGAUUUCGGAACGCGGUUGCCAGUACCUGCAGUAUCGGGACUACAUUUCGGAAUACACCCGAAGAGAACGGCGGUAAUCGCGCUGCGUGCGACGCGCGGUUUCGUAAGGAGGAAUCGGGACGGUUGCAUCUCGUCUCUGCGGUAGGUGGAAAUAAAUUGGGUAUAACCUACGACGUCGGCGAGUUGGUUCUGGUCGUAGUACUCGGGUCUGAUGGUUCGGUGGCACUGCGGUGCAGCCGGCGGUGUAGGAUUAAUCCUGAACUGUGGACGGAGGGAGAGGCGGGAGUAUUAACGACCCCUUCGUUUACCUACCGCAAUUCAACAAUUGACAAACUGUAGCUAGGCUCUGGCCCGCGCGUAUCCGUGUGUUUGUGUAUGUAUGUACAAAGCGCGCUUCGCGCCCCCUGCAAAACUACUCGAGCCCGUUUCGAACUGUACUGUAUACAAAGGGCACUAAUCUUACCCGUUAUGAUUAUGGCUACGAGGACGAGUGUCUAUCUUUCUCUCGUUCCUUGAUCAGCGGAGUCGAGUGAUGUCACGAAGUCGCGUGUUCUGUUCGAGGAAUGAAAAUGAAGAUAAAUCCUCGACUCGCGAGUUGGCUGACAAUGAGGUAUAACCGAUAUGCGCUUGGAACGUAUCAUCGAGUCGUUGUACGAAGAUUUAUCGAUUCGAAAAGUUCAAAUUUUAGGGCAGAAUCUUGCGUGUUGUUUUCGAAAAAUCAAUUUUCUAAAAACUACAGAUUUUUGUAGUAAAUAUGGAAGAAAAUGAAAGUUACAAGGAAAUUGAAGGUUUAAUAUACGGAGCAGGCAUCGCUAACUAUGGACGCUUUAAAGUCAAGAUAUCGUGUUAGCCAGAUUUAAAUAGGGUCAACUUCAAGCCGCCAUACCAGCGAGAUUUACCAUCGAAAACGAACAAAGAAAUCGUCCGCAUUACGUUAUAACUCUCUCUUUCAUGUGUAAAAAAUUUGGACUUAUUAAAUAGAGUUUACUAUGAAAAGUGAAAAAAAAAAA